UAAAGACUUUCUUUUAUUCCUUUAGAAAAUAAGCACAAUUUGAUACAUAAAAAUAUGAAUUGGCACAAAAUUGAAGUUCUAAAGAGCAAGCUGUUGCCCAAGGUGACAAGCCAAGAGGGGAGGGGGUGAAUUGGUUUCUCUUAGUUUUAACUAUCUUACUUAUGUCAAUUGAUGAGUUAGUAGAAUUAAACAAAGCACAAUACAAACAACAAGAAAUAUAGUGGUUCGGUGCUCUCCUAAGCACCUACGUCCACUUCCUAAGCGACCCCUUGGGAAUUCACUAUAAUCCCGCGGAUUACAGUUGGAUUGUUUUCCGGGCUCACAAUCCAAAAAUCUUUACACUUUGGUUUUCCAGGUUCACCAAAAACCUAUGUUGGUUUUACGGGCUCACCAACGAACCUAUGUUGGUUUUCCGGACUUACCAACGAACCUUUACAAUUGGUUUUACGGGUUCACCAAUCAACCUACACCGUUGGUUUUGCGGACUUACCAACUAACCUUUACAAGAAGUUUAAUAAACGAAGUAAGAAGAUUUAAGCUCUU
RNAcentral lists this long non-coding RNA (543 nucleotides) under Phoenix dactylifera (date palm). RNAcentral's name for it is "long non-coding RNA (PDAC_LNC013225)". The record is from RNAcentral. Lineage: Eukaryota; Viridiplantae; Streptophyta; Magnoliopsida; Arecales; Arecaceae.